UGGUAAUGCCGGAUGCUCCGACUCCUCGCAUGGGGUGUCGGGAAAGAUUCAUCGGUAUGGGAUGGGGUCGCGUCCUAUCAGGUAGUCGGCGGGGUAACGGCCCACCGAGCCUACGACGGGUAGCCGGCCUGAGAGGGCGACCGGCCACAUUGGGACUGAGAUACGGCCCAGACUCCUACGGGAGGCAGCAGUGGGGAAUAUUGCACAAUGGGCGCAAGCCUGAUGCAGCGACGCCGCGUGCGGGAUGACGGCCUUCGGGUUGUAAACCGCUUUUGAUCGGGAGCAAGCCUUCGGGUGAGUGUACCUUUCGAAUAAGCACCGGCUAACUACGUGCCAGCAGCCGCGGUAAUACGUAGGGUGCAAGCGUUAUCCGGAAUUAUUGGGCGUAAAGGGCUCGUAGGCGGUUCGUCGCGUCCGGUGUGAAAGUCCAUCGCUUAACGGUGGAUCUGCGCCGGGUACGGGCGGGCUGGAGUGCGGUAGGGGAGACUGGAAUUCCCGGUGUAACGGUGGAAUGUGUAGAUAUCGGAAAAAAACACC
RNAcentral lists this ribosomal RNA (537 nucleotides) under Bifidobacterium pseudocatenulatum. Its description in RNAcentral is "bacterial SSU rRNA". It matches the Rfam family "Bacterial small subunit ribosomal RNA", at positions 161 to 710 of the family's 1533-position model. The record is from RNAcentral. Lineage: Bacteria; Bacillati; Actinomycetota; Actinomycetes; Bifidobacteriales; Bifidobacteriaceae.